RNAcentral lists this ribosomal RNA (484 nucleotides) under uncultured bacterium. Its description in RNAcentral is "partial 16S ribosomal RNA". It matches the Rfam family "Bacterial small subunit ribosomal RNA", at positions 30 to 507 of the family's 1533-position model. The record is from RNAcentral.
AUUGAACGCUGGCGGCAGGCCUAACACAUGCAAGUCGAGCGGAUGAAGGGAGCUUGCUCCUGGAUUCAGCGGCGGACGGGUGAGUAAUGCCUAGGAAUCUGCCUGGUAGUGGGGUAUAACGUCCGGAAACGGGCGCUAAUACCGCAUACGUCCUGAGGGAGAAAGUGGGGGAUCUUCGGACCUUACGCUAUCAGAUGAUCCUAGGUCGGAUUAGCUAGUUGGUGGGGUAAAGGCCUACCAAGGCGACGAUCCGUAACUGGUCUGAGAGGAUGAUCAGUCACACUGGAACUGAGACACGGUCCAGACUCCUACGGGAGGCAGCAGUGGGGAAUAUUGGACAAUGGGCGAAAGCCUGAUCCAGCCAUGCCGCGUGUGUGAAGAAGGUCUUCGGAUUGUAAAGCACUUUAAGUUGGGAGGAAGGGCAGUAAGUUAAUACCUUGCUGUUUUGACGUUACCAACAGAAUAAGCACCGGCUAACUUCGUG